GACGAACGCUGGCGGCGUGCUUAACACAUGCAAGUCGAACGGAAAGGCCCUGCUUUUGUGGGGUGCUCGAGUGGCGAACGGGUGAGUAACACGUGAGUAACCUGCCCUUGACUUUGGGAUAACUUCAGGAAACUGGGGCUAAUACCGGAUAGGAGCUCCUGCUGCAUGGUGGGGGUUGGAAAGUUUCGGCGGUUGGGGAUGGAUUCGCGGCUCAUCAGCUUGUUGGUGGGGUAGUGGCUUACCAAGGCUUUGACGGGUAGCCGGCCUGAGAGGGGGACCGGCGACAUUGGUACUGCGAUACGGCCCAGACUCCUACGGGAGGCAGCAGUGGGGAAUAUUGCACAAUGGGCGGAAGCCUGAUGCAGCAACGCCGCGUGCGGGAUGACGGCCUUCGGGUUGUAAACCGCUUUCGCCUGUGACGAAGCGUGAGUGACGGUAAUGGGUAAAGAAGCACCGGCUAACUACGUG
This 468-nucleotide ribosomal RNA is filed under the name uncultured bacterium. Its description in RNAcentral is "partial 16S ribosomal RNA". It matches the Rfam family "Bacterial small subunit ribosomal RNA", at positions 28 to 507 of the family's 1533-position model. The record is from RNAcentral.